This 333-nucleotide unclassified non-coding RNA is filed under the name soil metagenome. RNAcentral describes it as "partial contains 5.8S ribosomal RNA, internal transcribed spacer 2, and large subunit ribosomal RNA". The stretch from base 1 to 120 matches the Rfam family "5.8S ribosomal RNA", at positions 35 to 154 of the family's 154-position model. The record is from RNAcentral.
GAUGAAGAACGCAGCGAAAUGCGAUAAGUAAUGUGAAUUGCAGAAUUCAGUGAAUCAUCGAAUCUUUGAACGCACAUUGCGCCCCCCAGUAUUCUGGCGGGCAUGCCUGUUCGAGCGUCAUUUCAACCAUCAAGCCCUGCUUGUGUUGGGGUCCUGCGGCUGCCCGCAGGCCCUGAAAACCAGUGGCGGGCUCGCUAGUCACACCGAGCGCAGUAGCACAUCUCGCUCAGGGCGUGCGGCGGGCUCCAGCCGUUAAAGCACCCACCUUUCGCAAGGUUGACCUCGGAUCAGGUAGGAAUACCCGCUGAACUUAAGCAUAUCAAAAGCGGAGGA